RNAcentral lists this ribosomal RNA (1035 nucleotides) under Aurantiochytrium limacinum. RNAcentral describes it as "partial Eukaryotic small subunit ribosomal RNA". It matches the Rfam family "Eukaryotic small subunit ribosomal RNA", at positions 576 to 1580 of the family's 1831-position model. The record is from RNAcentral. Lineage: Eukaryota; Bigyra; Thraustochytrida; Thraustochytriidae.
GCGGUAAUUCCAGCUCCAAUAGCGUAUAUUAAAGUUGUUGCGGUUAAAAAGCUCGUAGUUGGAUCUGUGUUUCACGCUGUCGGUUCACCGUUUUGUCGGUGUCUAACUGACAUGUCGUGGUACGUCCUGCCGGUUGGCGGCGUUGGCGUUUCCUUACGGUUGCGUCGCGUCUGCCAGUCCCAAUCCUGUCGCGGUGCUCUUCACCGAGUGUCGAGGCGGGCCGGCACGUUUACCUUGAACAAAUUUGAGUGCUUAAAGCAGGCUAUAAUCGCCGGAAAACUGUGUGCAUGGAAUAAUAUAAUAGGACCGCGGUUCUAUUUUGUUGGUUUUCAGAAUCCGAGGUAAUGAUUAAUAGGGACCGGCGGGGGCAUUAGUAUUGCGACGUUAGAGGUGAAAUUCUUGGAUCGUCGCAAGACUAACCUAAGCGAAAGCAUUUGCCAAGGAUGCUUCCAUUAAUCAAGAACGAAAGUUAGAGGUUCGAAGGCGAUCAGAUACCGCCCUAGUUCUAACCAUAAACGAUGCCAGCCAGCGAUCCGUCGAAGUUCCUCCGAUGACUCGACGGGCAGCUUCCGGGAAACUAAAGCAUUUGGGUUCCGGGGGAAGUAUGGUUGCAAAGCUGAAACUUAAAGGAAUUGACGGAAAGGCACCACCAUGGAGUGGAGCCUGCGGCUUAAUUUGACCCAACACGGGAAAUCUCACCAGGCCAGAACACCAGGUGGAUUGACAGAUUGAGAGCUCUUUCUUGAUUUGGUGGGUGGUGGUGCAUGGCCGUUCUUAGUUGGUGGAGCGAUUUGUCUGGUUAAUUCCGAUAACGAACGAGACCUCAGCCUGCUAACUAGUUCGUUCCUGCUUAGGAUCGGGACUUCUUAGAGGGACUUUGGGGGUUACUCCAAGGAAGUUUGAGGCAAUAACAGGUCUGUGAUGCCCUUAGAUGUUCUGGGCUGCACGCGCGCUACACUGAUACUUUCAGCGAGUCCACCACCUUGCCUGGGAGGGUGGGGUAACCUCUGGAAAGUGCAUCGUUAUGGGGAUCGA